RNAcentral lists this ribosomal RNA (560 nucleotides) under uncultured bacterium. Its description in RNAcentral is "partial 16S ribosomal RNA". It matches the Rfam family "Bacterial small subunit ribosomal RNA", at positions 355 to 1375 of the family's 1533-position model. The record is from RNAcentral.
UGGGGAAUAUUGGACAAUGGGCGCAAGCCUGAUCCAGCCAUGCCGCGUGAGUGAUGAAGGCCUUAGGGUUGUAAAGCUCUUUCGGCGGGGACGAUAAUGACGGUACCCGCAGAAGAAGCCCCGGCUAACUUCGUGCCAGCAGCCGCGGUAAUACGAAGGGGGCUAGCGUUGCUCGGAAUCACUGGGCGUAAAGGGCGCGUAGGCGGACAUUUAAGUCGGGGGUGAAAGCCCAGGGCUCAACCCUGGAAUUGCCUCCGAUACUGGGUGUCUCGAGACCGGAAGAGGUGAGUGGAACUGCGAGUGUAGAGGUGAAAUUCGUAGAUAUUCGCAAGAACACCAGUGGCGAAGGCGGCUCACUGGUCCGGUUCUGACGCUGAGGCGCGAAAGCGUGGGGAGCAAACAGGAUUAGAUACCCUGGUAGUCCACGCCGUAAACGAUGGAUGCUAGCCGUUGGCAGGCUUGCCUGUCAGUGGCGCAGCUAACGCUUUAAGCAUCCCGCCUAGGGAGUACGGCCGCAAGGUUAAAACUUAAAGGAAUUGACGGGGUCAUAGCUGUUUCCU